Molecule: ribosomal RNA, 537 nt
Filed under: Fusarium graminearum
Lineage: Eukaryota; Fungi; Ascomycota; Sordariomycetes; Hypocreales; Nectriaceae
Description: eukaryotic LSU rRNA
Rfam family: 5.8S ribosomal RNA (bases 179-332)
Source: RNAcentral
CCGUAGGUGAACCUGCGGAAGGAUACAUUACCGAGUUUACAACUCCCAAACCCCUGUGAACAUACCUUAUGUUGCCUCGGCGGAUCAGCCCGCGCCCCGUAAAAAGGGACGGCCCGCCGCAGGAACCCUAAACUCUGUUUUUAGUGGAACUUCUGAGUAUAAAAAACAAAUAAAUCAAAACUUUCAACAACGGAUCUCUUGGUUCUGGCAUCGAUGAAGAACGCAGCAAAAUGCGAUAAGUAAUGUGAAUUGCAGAAUUCAGUGAAUCAUCGAAUCUUUGAACGCACAUUGCGCCCGCCAGUAUUCUGGCGGGCAUGCCUGUUCGAGCGUCAUUUCAACCCUCAAGCCCAGCUUGGUGUUGGGAGCUGCAGUCCUGCUGCACUCCCCAAAUACAUUGGCGGUCACGUCGAGCUUCCAUAGCGUAGUAAUUUACACAUCGUUACUGGUAAUCGUCGCGGCCACGCCGUUAAACCCCAACUUCUGAAUGUUGACCUCGGAUCAGGUAGGAAUACCCGCUGAACUUAAGCAUAUCAAUAA